GUGUCAGCAGCCGCGGUAACACGGGGGGAGCAAGCGUUGUUCGGAAUUACUGGGCGUAAAGGGCGUGUAGGCGGUCAGGUAAGUGGGAUGUGAAAUCCUCCGGCUCACCCGGAGACCUGCAUCCCAAACUGCCUGGCUUGAGUAUGGGAGAGGAUGAGGGAAUUCCUGGUGUAGCGGUGAAAUGCGUAGAUAUCAGGAGGAACACCGGUGGCGAAAGCGCUCAUCUGGCCCAAUACUGACGCUGAGGCGCGAAAGCUAGGGGAGCAAACGGGAUUAGAAACCCUAGUAGUCC
Molecule: ribosomal RNA, 292 nt
Filed under: uncultured bacterium
Lineage: Bacteria
Description: partial 16S ribosomal RNA
Rfam family: Bacterial small subunit ribosomal RNA
Source: RNAcentral